UAUUAUUCAAGUAGAUAAUUU
Molecule: non-coding RNA, 21 nt
Organism: Caenorhabditis elegans
Lineage: Eukaryota; Metazoa; Nematoda; Chromadorea; Rhabditida; Rhabditidae
Source: Ensembl